CAAUAGCGUAUAUUAAAGUUGUUGCAGUUAAAAAGCUCGUAGUUGGAUUUCUGAUCUGAGAAACUCCGUUCUCCUCUAAGAGGAGCGAUGGAUGUUUUUCGAUCAUCCUUCGUGGAGAACAUUUCGGCUCUUCAUUGAGUUCGGGAUGCGAUCCCGAUCAAUUACUUUGAAAAAAUUAGAGUGUUCAAAGCAGGCUUCCGCUAUGAAUACAUUAGCAUGGAAUAAUAAGAUAGGACUUUGGUUCUAUUUUGUUGGUUUCUAGGACUAAAGUAAUGAUUGAUAGGGAUAGUUGGGGGUGCUAGUAUUCAACGGCCAGAGGUGAAAUUCGGUGAUUCGUUGAAGACUAACUCAUGCGAAAGCAUUCACCAAGGAUGUCUUCUUUAA
This 384-nucleotide ribosomal RNA is filed under the name uncultured eukaryote. RNAcentral's name for it is "partial 18S ribosomal RNA". It matches the Rfam family "Eukaryotic small subunit ribosomal RNA", at positions 592 to 976 of the family's 1831-position model. The record is from RNAcentral.